AAUAGAUACCCGGGUAGUCCACGCCGUAAACGAUGGAUGCUAGCUGUUAUGCGUAUCGACCCGUGUAGUAGCGAAGCUAACGCGUUAAGCAUCCCGCCUGGGGAGUACGAACGCAAGUUUAAAACUCAAAGGAAUUGACGGGGACCCGCACAAGCGGUGGAGCGUGUUCUUUAAUUCGAGGCUAAGCGAAGAGCCUUACCAGGGCUUGACAUCCUUGGAAUUUCUCCGAAAGGAGAGAGUACUUUAUUGGACCAAGUGACAGGUGCUGCAUGGCCGUCGUCAGCUCGUGUCGUGAGAUGUUUGGUUAAGUCCAUUAACGAGCGCAACCCUUAUGAAUAGUUGUAUUUUUCUAUUCAGACUGCCCCGGUAACGGGGAGAAGGGGGGGAUGAUGUCAGGUCAGUAUUGCCCUUACGCCCUGGGCUAGAAACGCGCUACAAUGGUGGUGACAGUGGGCAGCGAGACCGCGAGGUCGAGCUAAUCUCCAAAAGCCCAUCGUCAGUUCGGAUUGCACUCUGCAACUCGAGUGCAUGAAGUUGGAAC
RNAcentral lists this ribosomal RNA (541 nucleotides) under uncultured bacterium. Its description in RNAcentral is "bacterial SSU rRNA". It matches the Rfam family "Bacterial small subunit ribosomal RNA", at positions 777 to 1332 of the family's 1533-position model. The record is from RNAcentral.